AGUGAACGCUGGCGGUAGGCCUAACACAUGCAAGUCGAACGGCAGCACAGUAAGAGCUUGCUCUUACGGGUGGCGAGUGGCGGACGGGUGAGGAAUACAUCGGAAUCUACUUUUUCGUGGGGGAUAACGUAGGGAAACUUACGCUAAUACCGCAUACGACCUACGGGUGAAAGCAGGGGAUCUUCGGACCUUGCGCGAUUGAAUGAGCCGAUGUCGGAUUAGCUAGUUGGCGGGGUAAAGGCCCACCAAGGCGACGAUCCGUAGCUGGUCUGAGAGGAUGAUCAGCCACACUGGAACUGAGACACGGUCCAGACUCCUACGGGAGGCAGCAGUGGGGAAUAUUGGACAAUGGGCGCAAGCCUGAGCCAGCCAUACCGCGUGGGUGAAGAAGGCCUUCGGGUUGUAAAGCCCUUUUGUUGGGAAAGAAAAGCAGCAGGUUAAUACCCCGCUGUUCUGACGGUACCCAAAGAAUAAGCACCGGCUAACUUCGG
RNAcentral lists this ribosomal RNA (491 nucleotides) under uncultured bacterium. RNAcentral's name for it is "partial 16S ribosomal RNA". It matches the Rfam family "Bacterial small subunit ribosomal RNA", at positions 29 to 506 of the family's 1533-position model. The record is from RNAcentral.